Molecule: long non-coding RNA, 1275 nt
Filed under: Bos indicus x Bos taurus (hybrid cattle)
Lineage: Eukaryota; Metazoa; Chordata; Mammalia; Artiodactyla; Bovidae
Description: lncRNA (ENSBIXG00000001590.1)
Source: RNAcentral
AUGGUCUUUCCUUGGUGCUGCCCACCCUCCCUGAGGCCCUGGGUCAAGGCAUCAGGCUCCUUACAGAGGCGGGAGUUGUUGGGGAGACGUGACUGGGCUCCCCAGGGGUAUGGGGGUGCUCCAGAGAGGCUGCCGGCCCCUGCGCCUGCGCCCGUCCACCCAUAUGGUUGCCCAGGGAGCCCCCAGAUACGCCCUGAGGCCCUGGUCCUGACCCGGAAAGCCCGGGACUGCCCCUCCCCCAGACCCCUGCAGGCUGCCUUGGCCAGAGUCCCCUGGGCCCAGUGUCAUCCUGCGUCCCAAAUGUCACCUCCUUCAAUUCCACAGGCGCGUCAGGAUCGCUGUGCCCUGCCCAGCCCACGCCCGGGCCCCGGGGAGCCAGCGCCCUGCGCAUGGGCUCCCACGCUGCCUGGCAGGUGGCUGCUGCGGCCUGUGGCUUCUCCCGCCGCCACGAGUUCCUUCGGGCCCCCAGCCCCGUCUGCCCACUGCGCGGUGGCCACACGUUGUAAGCCUGGGCGCCCGCCCGUCCUGCGGCUUCCUGAUCAGGUCGCCCCAGCGGCUGCCUCGGCCCCGCCUGCCGCCGGGAUCCCGGCCUCCUCGGAGGCCCCUUCACCUCACUGUGCCUCUGUUUUCUCAUCUGCAAAGGUGAGUCUGAGUUCCACCAGCCCUUCCGUGGGCUGCUGUGUGCAGACUGCAGGCCCUGCCCCACCUGCUCCUUCCUUGAGCCCCAGACCGCAGAUCGCAGACCGCAGAGCAGGGCCACGUACCAGGCGUGGCAGGAUCAGGAGCCCUGGGGGGGUGAGGCGUGGCUUCUCCCGCUUAGAGGGAAGGACCAGCUGUGCCAAGCCCACGCGUGACUGGCGAAGGGUCCCGGGUCUGGGGAAGCAAGGACUUCAGCACCCAGUCCUGGGAAGGGCCAGGGCGAGGCUGACCCUUCAGCCACCAUGGGACUCUUCAGCCAAAGGAGGCCUUACGCUGUCACAGCCACACUUCCUGCUCGCCCUCCUGGGGCUGGACACUGACCGAGCCUGUCUCGGGACAAACCUGCCCACCCAGAGGCCGAGGCCCCUGAAUGCGGGUCCCAUGACAGGUGACGGGGCCCCAGGUGGCUCCCGGCCGGGUUGCGGGAGGCUGGGACGCUGCAGACCCAUCACAGACCUCAGCGCCCUCGUCCCAGUGCCUGCCCCUCACCGCAGGGACCUGACACCCGGGGCACUCAGCCUGGGUCGGGCACCGAACCUCCCUCCAGGCAUUCCUGCCGAGCCAGCCCCUUUCUAG